RNAcentral lists this ribosomal RNA (410 nucleotides) under uncultured bacterium. RNAcentral's name for it is "bacterial SSU rRNA". It matches the Rfam family "Bacterial small subunit ribosomal RNA", at positions 370 to 772 of the family's 1533-position model. The record is from RNAcentral.
AAUGGGGGCAACCCUGAUCCAGCCAUGCCGCGUGAGUGAAGAAGGCCUUCGGGUUGUAAAGCUCUUUCGGCCGGGAAGAAAUCGCGCCUUCUAAUACGGGGUGUGGAUGACGGUACCGGAAGAAGAAGCACCGGCUAACUACGUGCCAGCAGCCGCGGUAAUACGUAGGGUGCGAGCGUUAAUCGGAAUUACUGGGCGUAAAGGGUGCGCAGGCGGCGCCAUAAGACAGCUGUGAAAUCCCCGGGCUUAACCUGGGAACUGCGGUUGUGACUGUGGUGCUUGAGUGCGGCAGAGGGGGGUGGAAUUCCACGUGUAGCAGUGAAAUGCGUAGAGAUGUGGAGGAACACCGAUGGCGAAGGCAGCCCCCUGGGUCGACACUGACGCUCAUGCACGAAAGCGUGGGGAGCAAA